UACGAAGGGGGCUAGCGUUGUUCGGAAUCACUGGGCGUAAAGCGCACGUAGGCGGACCGUUAAGUCGGAGGUGAAAGCCUGGGGCUCAACCCCAGAACUGCCUUCGAUACUGGCGGUCUUGAGUAUGGUAGAGGUUGGUGGAACUCCGAGUGUAGAGGUGAAAUUCGUAGAUAUUCGGAAGAACACCAGUGGCGAAGGCGGCCAACUGGACCAUUACUGACGCUGAGGUGCGAAAGCGUGGGGAGCAAACAGG
This 253-nucleotide ribosomal RNA is filed under the name uncultured bacterium. Its description in RNAcentral is "partial 16S ribosomal RNA". It matches the Rfam family "Bacterial small subunit ribosomal RNA", at positions 524 to 776 of the family's 1533-position model. The record is from RNAcentral. RNAcentral also lists the same sequence under 1 other name.